UACACUCCUGCGGGAGGCAGCAGUGGGGAAUAUUGGACAAUGGGCGCAAGCCUGAUCCAGCCAUGCCGCGUGAGUGAUGAAGGCCCUAGGGUUGUAAAGCUCUUUCACCGGUGAAGAUAAUGACGGUAACCGGAGAAGAAGCCCCGGCUAACUUCGUGCCAGCAGCCGCGGUAAUACGAAGGGGGCUAGCGUUGUUCGGAUUUACUGGGCGUAAAGCGCACGUAGGCGGACUAUUAAGUCAGGGGUGAAAUCCCGGGGCUCAACCCCGGAACUGCCUUUGAUACUGGUAGUCUUGAGUUCGAGAGAGGUGAGUGGAAUUCCGAGUGUAGAGGUGAAAUUCGUAGAUAUUCGGAGGAACACCAGUGGCGAAGGCGGCUCACUGGCUCGAUACUGACGCUGAGGUGCGAAAGCGUGGGGAGCAAACAGGAUUAGAUACCCUAGUAGUCCC
RNAcentral lists this ribosomal RNA (448 nucleotides) under uncultured organism. RNAcentral describes it as "partial 16S ribosomal RNA". It matches the Rfam family "Bacterial small subunit ribosomal RNA", at positions 332 to 797 of the family's 1533-position model. The record is from RNAcentral.